ACGAGUCAGAACGGCGGAUGUCAGCAUCUGUGUCUGGCCCGGCCCGGAGGGAGGACGUGCGCUUGUCGGAGCAGCUGGAGACUCCAGGAUGACGGCGUCACGUGUCAGCCGUUGGUUAUUGUGCCACCGAGUGUCGUCUGGACCCGACGGGACCAAGUCACGGGCAUCAACAUCGUGGAAAUGUUGCCUGGAAACACCACAACAAUCCGGGAGGGCUUAGGAUCCGGAGGCUCUUUAACAGUCAAGAAUCUCUUCAGUGUCAAUCCGCCAUCUUUCUUGACUGCGCUGGAUUUUGACAUCCGAAGGCAACAGAUGUUCUGGGCUGACUCCGGACUGCAAGCUAUACACAAG
Molecule: long non-coding RNA, 351 nt
Organism: Branchiostoma belcheri (Belcher's lancelet)
Lineage: Eukaryota; Metazoa; Chordata; Leptocardii; Amphioxiformes; Branchiostomatidae
Exons: 3
Source: RefSeq, a predicted model, not a curated record